AAGUCGUAACAAGGUUUCCGUAGGUGAACCUGCGGAAGGAUCAUUACCAAAUCCAAAAAAAACUUUCUAUCAACACCCCAAUGUGAACUGAGAAUGGUUUCGUCCCUUCUCCUUGCCUUCCUUUCCUUUUUUUGGAAGGGGAGGAGGAGGAGGAGGGAUGUCAAACAACUUUUUUUCAACCCCUUUUCAACCAUUAAAUACCCCAUUUUUUUAAUGCUGAAAGCAACCAAAAAAACGAAACAUGAGACAACUUUUAACGGUGGAUCUCUUGGCUCGU
RNAcentral lists this unclassified non-coding RNA (277 nucleotides) under fungal sp. RNAcentral's name for it is "partial internal transcribed spacer region". The stretch from base 1 to 46 matches the Rfam family "Eukaryotic small subunit ribosomal RNA", at positions 1786 to 1831 of the family's 1831-position model. Lineage: Eukaryota; Fungi. The record is from RNAcentral.